Molecule: ribosomal RNA, 443 nt
Filed under: uncultured bacterium
Lineage: Bacteria
Description: partial 16S ribosomal RNA
Rfam family: Bacterial small subunit ribosomal RNA
Source: RNAcentral
CCUACGGGUGGCAGCAGUGGGGAAUAUUGGGCAAUGGGCGCAAGCCUGACCCAGCAAAGCCGCGUGAAGGAAGAAGGCUUUCGGGUUGUAAACUUCUUUUAUUGAGGGCGCAACAACUGACGGUCCUCAAUGAAUAAGCCACGGCUAACUACGUGCCAACAGCCGCGUUAAUACGUAGGUGGCAAGCCUUAUCCGGAUUUACUGGGUGUAAAGGGCGUGGAGGGGGGACUGCAAGUCAGAUGUGAAACCCAUGGGCCCAACCCAUGGCCUGGAUUUGAACCUGUAGUUCUUGAGUGGUGGAGAGGUAGGCGGAAUGCGGGGUGUAGCGGUGAAAUGCGUAGAUAUACGGAGGAACACCAGUGGCGAAGGCGGCCUGCUGGACAUUAACUGACGCUGAGGCGCGAAAGCGUGGGGAGCAAACAGGAUUAGAUACCCUAGUAGUC